AUUCGCUCCCUCCCCCAAAUUGCCCCAAAUCCUAAUAAUUAGCCCCAAAUCUCCCCCGGAACCCCCAAACCCCGCAGUUUAGCCCCAAAUCACCCUGCCCCUCCCCAAUUGCCCCAAAUCCCUUAAAUUAGCCCCAAAAUUCCUCCCCAGAGCCCCCAGCCCCUCCGCAAUUUUCCCCUUUCCUCAAAUUGCCCAAAAUCCCUUAAAUUAACCCCAAAUCUCCCCACGUGGUUGCACCCAGGCCUUUAUUGCAAGGUUAUGGGGCAGGAUAUGGGGCAGGGUGGUGGUGGGGGGGGGGGCGGGUGGGGGGGGGGCUGGGGGGGGGGGGGGGAGAUGUGGGGCAGGCCUGGCCGUGGGGCAGCCAUGGGGCUGGCUAUGGGGCAGAUGUGGGGCUGGGGUAUCUAUGGGGCAGCCGUGGGGCUGGCUAUGGGGCAGGGCAGGGGGGCAGGUGUGGGUCCGAUCUGUCCGUGGGGCAGC
This 477-nucleotide long non-coding RNA is filed under the name Anas platyrhynchos platyrhynchos (common mallard). RNAcentral describes it as "lncRNA (ENSAPLG00000022920.1)". The record is from RNAcentral. Lineage: Eukaryota; Metazoa; Chordata; Aves; Anseriformes; Anatidae.